GUGAGUCAUCGAAUCUUUGAACGCACCUUGCGCUCCUUGGUAUUCCGAGGAGCAUGCCUGUUUGAGUGUCAUUAAAAUCCUCAACCCCAUCUUUUCUUGUGAAUGAUGGUGUUGGAUGUGGAAGCCUGCCGGCCCUUUGUAGGUCAGCUCUUCUGAAAUACAUUAGCGGGGCCGCUGUACGCAAGGCUGCAGCUUGGUAAUGAUAGAUGUCUUACCAGGUCACAGUCGAGCAAUGUGCCCAGCUCACAGCCGUCUCUCUGAGACACUUGACAUGACGAUUUGACCUCAAAUCAGGUAGGACUACCCGCUGAACUUAAGCAUAUCAAUAAGCGGAGGA
This 337-nucleotide unclassified non-coding RNA is filed under the name Pluteus sp. RNAcentral describes it as "partial contains 5.8S ribosomal RNA, internal transcribed spacer 2, and large subunit ribosomal RNA". The stretch from base 1 to 71 matches the Rfam family "5.8S ribosomal RNA", at positions 84 to 154 of the family's 154-position model. Lineage: Eukaryota; Fungi; Basidiomycota; Agaricomycetes; Agaricales; Pluteaceae. The record is from RNAcentral.